This 468-nucleotide ribosomal RNA is filed under the name uncultured bacterium. RNAcentral's name for it is "partial 16S ribosomal RNA". It matches the Rfam family "Bacterial small subunit ribosomal RNA", at positions 28 to 507 of the family's 1533-position model. The record is from RNAcentral.
GACGAACGCUGGCGGCGUGCUUAACACAUGCAAGUCGAACGGAAAGGCCCUGCUUUUGUGGGGUGCUCGAGUGGCGAACGGGUGAGUAACACGUGAGUAACCUGCCCUUGACUUUGGGAUAACUUCAGGAAACUGGGGCUAAUACCGGAUAGGAGCUCCUGCUGCAUGGUGGGGGUUGGAAAGUUUCGGCGGUUGGGGAUGGACUUGCGGCUUAUCAGCUUGUUGGUGGGGUAGUGGCUUACCAAGGCUUUGACGGGUAGCCGGCCUGAGAGGGUGACCGGCCACAUUGGGACUGAGAUACGGCCCAGACUCCUACGGGAGGCAGCAGUGGGGAAUAUUGCACAAUGGGCGGAAGCCUGAUGCAGCAACGCCGCGUGCGGGAUGACGGCCUUCGGGUUGUAAACCGCUUUCGCCUGUGACGAAGCGUGAGUGGCGGUAAUGGGUAAAGAAGCACCGGCUAACUACGUG